GGGGAAUUUUCCGCAAUGGGCGCAAGCCUGACGGAGCAAGACCGCGUGCGGGAGGACGGCCUAAUGGUUGUAAACCGCUUUUGAUAGGGAAGAAGUACUGACGGUACCUAUCGAAUCAGCAUCGGCUAACUCCGUGCCAGCAGCCGCGGUAAUACGGAGGAUGCAAGCGUUAUCCGGAAUUAUUGGGCGUAAAGCGUCCGUAGGUGGUUGUUCAAGUCUGCUGUUAAAGCGUGCGGCUUAACCGCAUACCAGCAGUGGAAACUGGGCGACUAGAGUGCGGUAGGGGUCAGGGGAAUUCCCAGUGUAGCGGUGAAAUGCGUAGAUAUUGGGAAGAACACCGGUGGCGAAAGCGCCUGACUGGGCCUGCACUGACACUGAGGGACGAAAGCUAGGGGAGCGAAAGGGAUUAGAUACCCCAGUAGUC
RNAcentral lists this ribosomal RNA (424 nucleotides) under uncultured cyanobacterium. RNAcentral describes it as "bacterial SSU rRNA". It matches the Rfam family "Bacterial small subunit ribosomal RNA", at positions 356 to 795 of the family's 1533-position model. Lineage: Bacteria; Bacillati; Cyanobacteriota. The record is from RNAcentral.